RNAcentral lists this ribosomal RNA (460 nucleotides) under uncultured bacterium. Its description in RNAcentral is "partial 16S ribosomal RNA". It matches the Rfam family "Bacterial small subunit ribosomal RNA", at positions 338 to 795 of the family's 1533-position model. The record is from RNAcentral.
CCUACGGGUGGCAGCAGUGAGGAAUAUUGGUCAAUGGACGAGAGUCUGAACCAGCCAAGUAGCGUGAAGGAUGACUGCCCUAUGGGUUGUAAACUUCUUUUAUAUGGGAAUAAAAUGUUCCACGUGUGGGAUUUUGUAUGUACCAUAUGAAUAAGGAUCGGCUAACUCCGAGCCAGCAGCCGUGGUAAUACGGAGGAUCCGAGCGUUAUCCGGAUUUAUUGGGUUUAAAGGGAGCGUAGGUGGAUUGUUAAGUCAGUUGUGAAAGUUUGUGGCUCAACCGUAAAAUUGCAGUUGAAACUGGCAGUCUUGAGUACAGUAGAGGUGGGCGGAAUUCGUGGUGUAGCGGUGAAAUGCUUAGAUAUCACGAAGAACUCCGAUUGCGAAGGCAGUUCACUGGACUGCAACUGACACUGAGGCUCGAAAGUGUGGGUAUCAAACAGGAUUAGAUACCCGAGUAGUC